Molecule: small RNA, 310 nt
Filed under: Histoplasma capsulatum var. duboisii H88
Lineage: Eukaryota; Fungi; Ascomycota; Eurotiomycetes; Onygenales; Ajellomycetaceae
Description: Histoplasma capsulatum H88 hypothetical RNA
Source: RNAcentral
CAAACACAGUAGACGAGCAGAAAAGAGGCCUCGAAAUAUCGAGGGAAUAAAAUAGGGGGGAAAAGCAAAUUCUGUAUUGCGUUAUUUGCGUGAGCUACAAAACCACCUACAGUAGUGGUAGUUGGUGAAUCGGUGAAGUAGUUGACAACAGACAUUUUGAGAAGGUAAGUCACAAGUUGGAGAGGGAAUAUACAUUGCGUGAGAACAACGCCGGCCAGAUCGAGUGGGUGAUAUCGAAAAAAAAAAAAAGAAAAGAAGAGAAAGGGGAGUGAAAGAAUCAACUAAACAGUGAAUCACAUCAGAUGAGUGC